RNAcentral lists this ribosomal RNA (423 nucleotides) under Necremnus flagellaris. RNAcentral's name for it is "eukaryotic LSU rRNA". Lineage: Eukaryota; Metazoa; Arthropoda; Insecta; Hymenoptera; Eulophidae. The record is from RNAcentral.
GAGAAACCCAAAAGAUCGAAUGGGGAGAUUCAUCGUCAGCGGCUUUGGCUUCCGUGCGGUACGCGAUGGCGGGGAUCUCGGUCUCGCGCCACGCUGCCGCUGCGGCAUGUCCGGAGUCGUCGGCGUGCACUUCUCCCCUAGUAGGACGUCGCGACCCGUUGGGUGUCGGACCGAUGGCCGGUCGGUCGUCUGUGGCGUUAACGCGCCGCAGACCGAUUCGGUCGAAAGUCCGGCUGCCCGGCGGUAUUGAACGAUAUGAACUGGUAUCGGGCCGCAUCGAAUGCGUUCAGGCUCGUCGGCAGGCUCGUCUCGCUCGGAUUUACGGACCUAGCGCCGUUGCCGGGCGCUUGGCGCGGCUGUUAGUCGACGAUGUCCUCGGACUGGCUCUUACCCGUCGGCGACGCUACUGCUUUGGGUACUUUC